This 343-nucleotide ribosomal RNA is filed under the name uncultured bacterium. Its description in RNAcentral is "partial 16S ribosomal RNA". It matches the Rfam family "Bacterial small subunit ribosomal RNA", at positions 338 to 699 of the family's 1533-position model. The record is from RNAcentral.
CCUACGGGUGGCAGCAGUGGGGAAUAUUGCACAAUGGGGGAAACUCUGAUGCAGCGAUGCCGCGUGCGUGAAGAAGUCAUUCUUUAUGUAAAGCUCUAUCAGCAGGGAAGAAAAUGACGGUACCUGAGUAAGACUCCCCGCUAACUACGUGCCAGGAGCCGCUGUAAUACGGAGGGGGCAAGCGGUAUCCGGGUUUACUCGGGGGAAAGGGGGCGUAGGCGGGUGUGGAAGUUUGGUGUGAAAGGCGGGGGCUCAACCCCCGGACUGCUCUGGAUACUGUACGGCUGGAGUGCAGGGGAGGUAGGUGGAAUUCCUAGUGUAGCGGUGAAAUGCGUAGAUAUUA